Molecule: ribosomal RNA, 433 nt
Filed under: uncultured bacterium
Lineage: Bacteria
Description: partial 16S ribosomal RNA
Rfam family: Bacterial small subunit ribosomal RNA
Source: RNAcentral
AGCGAACGCUGGCGGCAGGCCUAACACAUGCAAGUCGAACGAACUCUUCGGAGUUAGUGGCGGACGGGUGAGUAACCCGUGGGAACGUUCCUUUUGGUUCGGAAUAACUCAGGGAAACUUGUGCUAAUACCGAAUGUGCCCUUCGGGGGAAAGAUUUAUCGCCAUUAGAGCGGCCCGCGUCUGAUUCGCUAGUUGGUGAGGUAACGGCUCACCAAGGCGCCGAUCAGUAGCUGGUCUGAGAGGAUGACCAGCCACACUGGGACUGAGACGCGGCCCAGACUCCUACGGGAGGCAGGAGUGGGGAAUCUUGCGAAAUGGGCGAAAGCCUGACGCAGCCAUGCCGCGUGAAUGAUGAAGGUAUUAGGAUUGUAAAAUUCUUUCACCGGGGACGAUAAUGACGGUACCCGGAGAAGAAGCCCCGGCUAACUUCGUG